This 425-nucleotide ribosomal RNA is filed under the name uncultured bacterium. Its description in RNAcentral is "partial 16S ribosomal RNA". It matches the Rfam family "Bacterial small subunit ribosomal RNA", at positions 354 to 796 of the family's 1533-position model. The record is from RNAcentral.
GUGGGGAAUCUUGCGCAAUGGGCGAAAGCCUGACGCAGCCAUGCCGCGUGAAUGAUGAAGGUCUUAGGAUUGUAAAAUUCUUUCACCGGGGACGAUAAUGACGGUACCCGGAGAAGAAGCUCCGGCUAACUUCGUGCCAGCAGCCGCGGUAAUACGAAGGGGGCUAGCGUUGCUCGGAAUUACUGGGCGUAAAGGGCGCGUAGGCGGACAGCUUAGUCAGAGGUGAAAGCCCAGGGCUCAACCUUGGAAUUGCCUUUGAUACUGGCUGUCUUGAGUUUGGGAGAGGUGAGUGGAAUUCCGAGUGUAGAGGUGAAAUUCGUAGAUAUUCGGAGGAACACCAGUGGCGAAGGCGGCUCACUGGCUCGAUACUGACGCUGAGGUGCGAAAGCGUGGGGAGCAAACAGGAUUAGAUACCCUAGUAGUCC